AUGGGGAUUUGCCAUGGGGGAACCCUGAUGCAGCCUGCCGCGUGUGUGAAGAAGGCCUUCGGGUUGUAAAGCACUUUCAGUUGUGAGGAAAAGUUAGUAGUUAAUACCUGCUAGCCGUGACGUUAACAACAGAAGAAGCACCGGCUAACUCCGUGCCAGCAGCCGCGGUAAUACGGAGGGUGCGAGCGUUAAUCGGAAUUACUGGGCGUAAAGCGCACGCAGGCGGUUUGUUAAGCUAGAAGAUGUGAAAGCCCCGGGCUCAACCUGGGAUGGUCAUUUAGAACUGGCAGACUAGAGUCUUGGAGAGGGGAGUGGAAUUCGGUGUAGCGGUGAAAUGCGUAGAUAUCUGGAGGAACAUCAGUGGCGAAGGCGACUCCCUGGCCAAAGACUGACGCUCAUGUGCGAAAGUGUGGGUAGCGAACAGGAUUAGAUACCCUGGUAGUCCACACCGUAAACGCUGUCUACUAGCUGUGUGUGCCUUUAAGGCGUGCGUAGCGAAGCUAACGCGCUAAGUAGACCGCCUGGGGAGUACGGCCGCAAGGUUAAAACUCAAAUGAAUUGACGGGGGCCCGCACAAGCGGUGGAGCAUGUGGUUUAAUUCGAUGCAACGCGAAGAACCUUACCUACACUUGACAUGCUGAGAAGUUACUAGAGAUAUUUCGUGCUUCGGGAACUCAGACAC
RNAcentral lists this ribosomal RNA (682 nucleotides) under gamma proteobacterium UST991130-038. RNAcentral's name for it is "bacterial SSU rRNA". It matches the Rfam family "Bacterial small subunit ribosomal RNA", at positions 355 to 1035 of the family's 1533-position model. Lineage: Bacteria; Pseudomonadati; Pseudomonadota; Gammaproteobacteria. The record is from RNAcentral.